Molecule: ribosomal RNA, 893 nt
Filed under: uncultured Saccharothrix sp.
Lineage: Bacteria; Bacillati; Actinomycetota; Actinomycetes; Pseudonocardiales; Pseudonocardiaceae
Description: bacterial SSU rRNA
Rfam family: Bacterial small subunit ribosomal RNA
Source: RNAcentral
AGAGUUUGAUCCUGGCUCAGGACGAACGCUGGCGGCGUGCUUAACACAUGCAAGUCGAGCGGUAAGGCCCUUUCGGGGUACACGAGCGGCGAACGGGUGAGUAACACGUGGGUAACCUGCCCUGUACUCUGGGAUAAGCCUGGGAAACUAGGUCUAAUACCGGAUAUGACCUGCCUCUGCAUGGGGGUGGGUGGAAAGUUCCGGCGGUAUGGGAUGGACCCGCGGCCUAUCAGCUUGUUGGUGGGGUAAUGGCCUACCAAGGCGACGACGGGUAGCCGGCCUGAGAGGGUGACCGGCCACACUGGGACUGAGACACGGCCCAGACUCCUACGGGAGGCAGCAGUGGGGAAUAUUGCACAAUGGGCGAAAGCCUGAUGCAGCGACGCCGCGUGAGGGAUGACGGCCUUCGGGUUGUAAACCUCUUUCAGCAGGGACGAAGCGUGAGUGACGGUACCUGCAGAAGAAGCACCGGCUAACUACGUGCCAGCAGCCGCGGUAAUACGUAGGGUGCGAGCGUUGUCCGGAAUUAUUGGGCGUAAAGAGCUCGUAGGCGGUUUGUUGCGUCGGCUGUGAAAACUUCACGCUUAACGUGGAGCCUGCAGUCGAUACGGGCAGACUUGAGUUCGGCAGGGGAGACUGGAAUUCCUGGUGUAGCGGUGAAAUGCGCAGAUAUCAGGAGGAACACCGGUGGCGAAGGCGGGUCUCUGGGCCGAUACUGACGCUGAGGAGCGAAAGCGUGGGGAGCGAACAGGAUUAGAUACCCUGGUAGUCCACGCCGUAAACGGUGGGUGCUAGGUGUGGGGGACUUCCACGUCCUCCGUGCCGCAGCUAACGCAUUAAGCACCCCGCCUGGGGAGUACGGCCGCAAGGCUAAAACUCAAAGGAAUUGACGG